RNAcentral lists this ribosomal RNA (612 nucleotides) under uncultured bacterium. Its description in RNAcentral is "bacterial SSU rRNA". It matches the Rfam family "Bacterial small subunit ribosomal RNA", at positions 62 to 661 of the family's 1533-position model. The record is from RNAcentral.
UCGAACGCGAAAUUUUUUCUUCGGAGAAAAGAGUAGAGUGGCGCACGGGUGAGUAACGCGUAAGUAAUCUACCCUGGCAUCUGGAAUAACUCACCGAAAGGUGUGCUAAUACCGGAUACGUUGAUUUAUCAAGAAAGGUGGCCUCUGAUAUAAGCUACUGUGCUGGGAGGAGCUUGCGUGCCAUUAGCUAGUUGGUAGGGUAAUGGCCUACCAAGGCGACGAUGGUUAGCGGGUCUGAGAGGAUGAUCCGCCACACUGGAACUGGAACACGGACCAGACUCCUACGGGAGGCAGCAGUGAGGAAUAUUGCGCAAUGGGGGCAACCCUGACGCAGCGACGCCGCGUGGAUGAUGAAGGCCUUCGGGUCGUAAAAUCCUGUCAGAUGGAAAGAAGUGUAGUAUGCCUAAUACGUGUACUAUUUGACGGUACCAUCAAAGGAAGCACCGGCUAACUCCGUGCCAGCAGCCGCGGUAAUACGGAGGGUGCAAGCGUUGUUCGGAAUUACUGGGCGUAAAGCGCGCGUAGGCGGUUUUAUAAGUCAGAUGUGAAAGUCCACGGCUCAACCAUGGAAGUGCAUUUGAAACUGUAAGACUUGAGUAUUGGAGGGGGUAG